RNAcentral lists this ribosomal RNA (301 nucleotides) under uncultured bacterium. RNAcentral describes it as "partial 16S ribosomal RNA". It matches the Rfam family "Bacterial small subunit ribosomal RNA", at positions 509 to 807 of the family's 1533-position model. The record is from RNAcentral.
CAGCAGCCGCGGGAAUACGGAGGGUGCAAGCGUUAAUCGGAAUUACUGGGCGUAAAGCGCACGCAGGCGGUCUGUCAAGUCAGAUGUGAAAUCCCCGGGCUUAACCUGGGAACUGCAUUUGAAACUGGCAGGCUAGAGUCUUGUAGAGGGGGGUAGAAUUCCAGGUGUAGCGGUGAAAUGCGUAGAGAUCUGGAGGAAUACCGAUGGCGAAGGCAGCCAUCUGGCCUAAUACUGACGCUGAGGUACGAAAGCAUGGGGAGCAAACAGGAUUAGAUACCCCGGUAGUCCCUGUCUCUUAUAC